This 255-nucleotide long non-coding RNA is filed under the name Zostera marina. RNAcentral describes it as "long non-coding RNA (ZMAR_LNC003632)". The record is from RNAcentral. Lineage: Eukaryota; Viridiplantae; Streptophyta; Magnoliopsida; Alismatales; Zosteraceae.
GGCUGAUUAUUCUAUUUGGCAUCAACAUGGUGAAAUCGAUAGCUCAAGAAAAAAAGCACGGAUAGAAAUUUUCGAAGAAUACGGCCAUACUACCUUUGAAGUUGGAUCUAGCAGUAACAAUCCAAUAGUCAAUAUGGUUCAUGAUGCAAGUAGACCCUUCGUUAUCGAUGACCAUCGUACUGAAUUACCCAAUGUUGAUGCCCAAAAUAUUUACAAUUUGUUAGAGAGUGCAAAUCAGAAAUUGUAUGAUGGAUG